RNAcentral lists this ribosomal RNA (369 nucleotides) under uncultured bacterium. RNAcentral's name for it is "bacterial SSU rRNA". It matches the Rfam family "Bacterial small subunit ribosomal RNA", at positions 527 to 898 of the family's 1533-position model. The record is from RNAcentral.
GAAGGUGGCAAGCGUUGUUCGGAUUUACUGGGCGUAAAGGGAGCGUAGGUGGUCGGGUAAGCCCCGCGGGAAAGCUCCAGGCUUAACCUGGAAAGGUCGCGGGGGACUGCGCGGCUGGAGGACGGGAGAGGAGCGCGGAAUUCCCGGUGUAGCGGUGAAAUGCGUAGAGAUCGGGAGGAAGGCCGGUGGCGAAGGCGGCGCUCUGGAACGGCCCUGACACUGAGGCUCGAAAGCGUGGGGAGCAAACAGGAUUAGAUACCCUGGUAGUCCACGCCCUAAACGAUGGACACUACGUGCCGGCGGGUCUCCGCCGGUGCCGCAGCUAACGCAGUAAGUGUCCCGCCUGGGGAGUACGGCCGCAAGGUUGAA